GUCGUGACGAUCGGCUGUUGUGAACAAUGGUGGCGUAGGAUUGCAUCCAGACCCAUCCGCCAUCCCUGGUCAAGAAUCUGUAAUAUUUCGUUGUCACUUGACCCUUGAACAGAACUAGACAACAACAAAAAAAGAGACAACGGGAACUGCGAAGAUGACCUAAAACAAGCGAAGGCGGAUCGAAUUGUCUUCAUGUCCGGUCGGGAUGGAGCAGUUAGACGGACUAUAACAUCUAUCGAAAGGGCGGAAAACAUUUGAGCACAACACUUUGUUCGGGGAGGGGCCGUCAUUGUCGGCAAGAAAAACGAAAAACAGCACACAACCACCCAUGAAACGUGCAUUCGUGCUGUUCCCGUUCGUCCGUGUCUUUAGUCGUCAACUUGCAUUUUCCGACCUCCCAGA
Molecule: long non-coding RNA, 402 nt
Filed under: Daphnia magna
Lineage: Eukaryota; Metazoa; Arthropoda; Branchiopoda; Diplostraca; Daphniidae
Description: uncharacterized LOC116931011, transcript variant X2
Source: RNAcentral